Molecule: unclassified non-coding RNA, 360 nt
Filed under: soil metagenome
Description: partial contains 5.8S ribosomal RNA, internal transcribed spacer 2, and large subunit ribosomal RNA
Rfam family: 5.8S ribosomal RNA (bases 1-120)
Source: RNAcentral
GAUGAAGAACGUAGCGAAAUGCGAUAAGUAAUGCGAAUUGCAGAAUUCAGUGAAUCAUCGAAUCUUUGAACGCACAUUGCGCCCGCCAGUAUUCUGGCGGGCAUGCCUGUCUGAGCGUCGUUUCGACCCUCGCGCCCGGCUUCUGUCGGGGGCGGUGUUGGGGAUCGGCCACACCCUUCAGUGGGAGGCCGGCCCCUAAAUUCAGUGGCGACCACGCUGUAGCCUCCCCUGCGUAGUACCAAAACCACCUCGCAGGCGGAGAGCGGUGCGGCCCGCCGUAAAACCCCCCAACUUUUACAAGGUCGACCUCAGAUCAGGUAGGAAUACCCGCUGAACUUAAGCAUAUCAAUAAGCGGAGGA